GCUGGGCAUGGUGGUGCAUGCCUGUAAUCCUAGUUCCUCGGGAAGCUGAGGCAGGAGAAUUGCUUGAACCCAGGAGGUGGAGAGUGCAGUGAGCCGAGGUUGCAGUGAGCCGAGAUCGCGCCAUUGCACCCCAGCCUGGGUGACAGAGCAAGACUCUAUCUCAA
Unclassified non-coding RNA from Macaca fascicularis (crab-eating macaque), 164 nucleotides. It matches the Rfam family "Metazoan signal recognition particle RNA". Rfam says of the family: The signal recognition particle (SRP) is a universally conserved ribonucleoprotein. It is involved in the co-translational targeting of proteins to membranes. The eukaryotic SRP consists of a 300-nucleotide 7S RNA and six proteins: SRPs 72, 68, 54, 19, 14, and 9. The record is from Ensembl. Lineage: Eukaryota; Metazoa; Chordata; Mammalia; Primates; Cercopithecidae.